Molecule: long non-coding RNA, 831 nt
Organism: Osmia lignaria (orchard mason bee)
Lineage: Eukaryota; Metazoa; Arthropoda; Insecta; Hymenoptera; Megachilidae
Source: RefSeq, a predicted model, not a curated record
GCUAUCAUUGCUAUCGAUACGUGUUGCUACUUCGCUGCAUCAUGGAAUAGGUUUGAGACAGUUGGGUGCUGCUUGGGUCCAUGGAUGAUGGAUCUUUCGGGGUUGGAGGUUUAUUGGAUGCUUUAUUAACCCUUUCAAUGAUAGGGGCGAAGGAAAAUUGGAUGUUUUAUUGACUCAGGAAUAUUAAGGAAAGGGGAUAGAAAAAUACAUUUUGGAUUCAUAUUUGGGUGAUGGAUUCUUUCUGAGUAUUUCCAAUAAGGUGCUCUAUUAACUCUAUAAGGACUAAAAGAGGGUUCACCUACCACAGAUGUUUUUGUGUGCGAAAUUUUGUGUCGGUGUGAAGUAGGGUGCCGUAUUUCCUCGACGCCCACGCGUCGAACCGGGAAACAUAGAGAGGAGGAAGGAGGAGGCUGGACCAACGAGGACGGUCGACAAAGUAUUAUCGAUCUCUCCUCCUCUCUUAGCAGUCGUCAACCCACGUAAACCGCACAAUCGACCCUUAUUUUUAAGGAUGGGGGUGCUCUCUGACGAAAUACGUGGACAAGAGGGUGGUACUUGGAAUUUUUCUUGCUUUACUUGUUGAAAAGGAUUCGUACAUGGUGAUACUUGAGUAGCUCUUUUUAAGGCUUCUCCAGGAAAAAAGGUAACGUCCUGGGUUCUCAUCCUUCCCCUUAGGCGUUUCCGAGGAAAAUGACGAUGCAGAGGAGGAGGCCCCGUAUAUAUAGGCCCGUGGCAGACCACCACUUGCGUAUACGCGGGAAAAUUUGAAUUGAUAUUUAUUUAUUAUUCAUUUUUCUCAGUUAUAUACUAAAUUUUAUAACAUAUAAUAAU